AGGCGGGCGGAAUGUUGUUUGCCGACGCCUGCUGCGGCAAGGCGGAGUUCGACGCGGCCUUCCGGGCCCUGGUCGCGAAGAUGUAUCCCGGGCAGAAGCUGGAAGUGAUCGACGCGAACGAUGAGCUGUACUCGGCGAAGCUGAACGGCGCCGCGAUCGUGAACGUGAAGCGUCGCGAGAAGGGCGACGGGACGGGUACGGACGGCGGCUUCAAGGACAUGCCCCCCUUCCUGGAGGGGCUGAGGAUCGACGGCCACUGGGCGAUCAUCUACAGCAAGUACGACGUCGGCUGCGCCCUGGAAGGCCACAAGUCCACCGACUGCCGCGGCCACGAUCGUGACAGCGCGCUCCGCAUCGGCACGGCGGCACUGCUGUAUGCGUUGAAGCGGUAACGCACGAAUCGAACUCUCUCCAGGCCGGUUUUGAGUUCUUUGGUUCCAGUUUGAUGUCUGCUCCUCCUCCGCAGGGUCUGCGAUGCGUCCAAAGCUCCUUGCGGUUGCAAUCUUCUCAAUGUUCGUUUCCUCCGACAUCCGGGCGGACGGGUGCAAGUUUGCCCGCAACGGGCGUCUUGUGCCCGAGCGUGAGCAGCGGGCGCUCAUCGAAUUGUCCGACGGGAUCGAGACGCUGACGCUGGCGGUUCGCAGCGACCCGACGACCGAGGGGAACGUGUGGGUAGUGCCGAUCCGGGCAGCAGCGACCCGGGUGGGGGCGGAACCGAUCGAGAAAUUCCCGGCCGUCACCUACUACGAGACCCUGCGGAGCCGGGCCGAUCGGCGGCUUCAAGAGUUUGUCCAGGUCACGGCCGUACUGGAUUCCGGAGGCUUCCUGUGCCCCGUCUUGCUCGCCGGAGUCGGCGGUUGCGGGGGCGGGCCGCCCACUUCGAAAUCCGCCGU
RNAcentral lists this unclassified non-coding RNA (893 nucleotides) under uncultured fungus. RNAcentral's name for it is "sequence contains 18S rRNA gene, ITS1, 5.8S rRNA gene, ITS2, 28S rRNA gene". The record is from RNAcentral. Lineage: Eukaryota; Fungi.